This 181-nucleotide small nuclear RNA is filed under the name Glossina austeni. RNAcentral's name for it is "arthropod 7SK RNA". It matches the Rfam family "Arthropod 7SK RNA", at positions 15 to 201 of the family's 351-position model. Lineage: Eukaryota; Metazoa; Arthropoda; Insecta; Diptera; Glossinidae. The record is from RNAcentral.
GUGAUGGCACGUAGCUGGACAUUGAUCGCUAGAUCGUAAUUAGUGUUUGCAGAUCUGCUCAGUGGCAUCCGUCACGCCAUUAAUCUACUCCCAGUAAUAAAACAUACUGGCGGACGUGUAAGAGUGAAAUUCAGUUGAUGGUCUUCUGAUGCACGGCAGCGGAUCGGACGCACAGUUAUGU